AUGUAGUGUGACAUGCCCGUUUGGGUUAUUACUCUGAUGCAAUAUUUAUUGAUUUUGGGAACGGGGUGUUUCAUUUACA
RNAcentral lists this microRNA precursor (79 nucleotides) under Medicago truncatula (barrel medic). RNAcentral describes it as "MIR2617 microRNA precursor family". It matches the Rfam family "MIR2617 microRNA precursor family". The record is from Rfam by way of RNAcentral. Lineage: Eukaryota; Viridiplantae; Streptophyta; Magnoliopsida; Fabales; Fabaceae.